GAUCAUGCUCAGAUUGAACGCUGGCGGCGUGCUUAACACAUGCAAGUCGCGCGUGAAAGGACUUCGGUCCGAGUAAAGCGGCGCACGGGUGAGUAACGCGUGGAUGAUCUACCCAUGAGUUAGGAAUAACGGCUGGAAACGGUCGCUAAUACCAAAUACGCUCCGAUUCCAACUUCGGGGGAAAGGUGGCCUCUGCUUGCAAGCUACUGCUCAUGGAUGAGUCCGCGUCCCAUUAGCUAGUUGGUGGGGUAACGGCCCACCAAGGCGACGAUGGGUAGCCGGUCUGAGAGGAUGACCGGCCACACUGGGACUGGAACACGGCCCAGACUCCUACGGGAGGCAGCAGUGGGGAAUAUUGCGCAAUGGGCGAAAGCCUGACGCAGCGACGCCGCGUGAGGGGAAUGAAGGUCCUCGGAUCGUAAACCUCUGUCAGGAGGGAAGAACCGCCACGGUGCUAAUCAGCCGUGGUCUGACGGUACCUCCAAAGGAAGCACCGGCUAACUCCGUGCCAGCCGCCGC
RNAcentral lists this ribosomal RNA (519 nucleotides) under uncultured bacterium. Its description in RNAcentral is "bacterial SSU rRNA". It matches the Rfam family "Bacterial small subunit ribosomal RNA", at positions 15 to 518 of the family's 1533-position model. The record is from RNAcentral.